Molecule: long non-coding RNA, 1130 nt
Filed under: Homo sapiens (human)
Lineage: Eukaryota; Metazoa; Chordata; Mammalia; Primates; Hominidae
Description: non-protein coding lnc-TEKT5-3:1
Source: RNAcentral
AUGACCAAAAUACACAAAACGCACCCACUAAUAAAAAUUAUUAACCAUUCAGUCAUUGAUUUCCCCACACCGUCCAACAUUUCCACAUGAUGAAACUUCGGCUCACUUCUUGGUGCCUGCCUAAUUGUCCAGAUUAUCACGGGAUUAUUUCUAGCCAUACACUAUACAUCAGAUACCUCAACUGCUUUCUCUUCAGUUGCCCACAUCAGCCCAGAUGUAAAUUAUGGCCGAAUAAUCUGCAUUUUCAUGCUAACAGCACCUCAAUAUUCUUCAUCUGCCUCUUCCUACACAUUGGCCGAGGCUUAUACUACGGGUCAUUUAUAUUUCUAGAAACCUGAAAUAUUGGUAUUAUCCUCCUACUUACCACCAUAGCAACAGCAUUUCUAAGCUACGUACUUCCAUGCGGCCAAAUAUUAUUCUGAGGUGCUACAGUAAUUACAAACCUAAUAUCAGCCAUUUCAUAUAUUGGAACUCCUUCUACAAUGAAUCUGAGGUGGAUUCUCAGUUGACAAAGCCACCGUUACACGAUUUUUCACCUUCCAUUUCAUCUUACCUUUCAUCAUUACAGCUCCAGCAACUGUUUACCAUUUAUUCUUACAUGAAACAGGAUCUAACAACCCUUCAGGAGUCUCAUCAGACCCAGACAAAAUCACUUUCCACCCCUACUGCACGAUCAAAGAUAUUCUAGGUUUAAUUUUUCUCCUCCUCCUCCUAAUAAUUCUAACACUAUUUUCACCUGACCUUCUAAGCGACCCAGAUAAUUACACUUUGGCCAGCCCACUAAAUAUCCCCCCCCACAUUAAGCCAGAGUGAUAUUUUUUGUUUGCAUAUGCAAUUCUACGAUCCAUCCCUAACAAACCAGGAGGUGUACUAGCUCUUAUAUCCUCCUUUCUCAUUCCAGCAAUUAUCCCAUACUUCAUACAUCUAAACAAUAAAGCAUAAUAUUCUGUCCAUUAAGUCAAUGCCUAUUCUGAAUCUUAAUAGCUGACCUGCUCACACUUACAUGAAUCAGAGGACAGCCCAUCCACUACCAGUUCAUUAUUAUUGGACAAACAGCAUCCAUUGUGUAUUUCUCCACUCUCCUCACCCUUAUGUCACUCACUGCCCUGAAGGAAAAUAAGCUAUUUAAA